RNAcentral lists this ribosomal RNA (492 nucleotides) under uncultured bacterium. RNAcentral describes it as "partial 16S ribosomal RNA". It matches the Rfam family "Bacterial small subunit ribosomal RNA", at positions 29 to 507 of the family's 1533-position model. The record is from RNAcentral.
AGUGAACGCUGGCGGUAGGCUUAACACAUGCAAGUCGAACGGCAGCACAGUACGUGCUUGCUCUUAUGGGUGGCGAGUGGCGGAUGGGUGGGGAAUACCUCGGACUCUACUCUUUCGUGGGGGUUAACGACGGGAAAUAUUAGCUAAUACCGCAUUCGACCUCCGGGUGAAAGCUGGGGAUCUUUGGACCUUGUGCGAUUGAUUGCGCCGUUGUCGGUUUUGCUAGUUGGGGGGGUAAAGGCCCACCAAGGCGACGAUCCGUAGCUGGUCGGAGAGAAGGAUCAGCCACACGGGAGCUGAGACACGGUCCAGACGCCUGCGAGAGGGAGCAGUGUGGAACAGGGGACAGUGGUCGCAAGCCUGAUCCAACCAGACCGCGUGUGAGAAGGAGGCCUUCGGGUUGGAAAGCCCGUUUGUGGGUAAAGAAAAGCAUCAGGUUAAUACCCCGCUGUACUGACGGUACCCAAAGAAUAAGCACCGGCUAACUACGUG